RNAcentral lists this ribosomal RNA (381 nucleotides) under uncultured bacterium. RNAcentral describes it as "bacterial SSU rRNA". It matches the Rfam family "Bacterial small subunit ribosomal RNA", at positions 32 to 407 of the family's 1533-position model. The record is from RNAcentral.
AAUCAACGCUGGCGGCGUGCCUAACACAUGCAAGUCGAACGAGAAAGUGGAGCAAUCCAUGAGUAAAGUGGCGACCGGGUGAGUAACACGUGACUAACCUACCCUAAAGUGGGGAAUAACCUCGGGAAACCGGGGCUAAUACCGCAUAACAUUGCGCGGCUGAAAGGCCAUGCAUUCAAAGGAGCAAUUCGCUUUAGGAGGGGGUCGCGGUUGAUUAGCUAGUUGGUGAGGUAAUGGCNCACCAAGGCGAUGAUCAAUAGCCGGCCUGAGAGGGCGCACGGCCACACUGGAACUGAAACACGGUCCAGACUCCUACGGGAGGCAGCAGUGGGGAAUUUUGCGCAAGUGGGGGAACCCUGACGCAGCAACGCCGCGUGGAGA